This 512-nucleotide ribosomal RNA is filed under the name uncultured bacterium. Its description in RNAcentral is "partial 16S ribosomal RNA". The record is from RNAcentral.
GGAGUUAGCCGGUGCUUCUUCUGUGAGUGAUGUCCUUCCUGCCGGCUAUUAACCCGCAGGCCUUCUUCCUCACUGAAAGUGCUUUACAACCCGAAGGCCUUCUUCACACACGCGGCAUGGCUGGAUCAGGGUUGCCCCCAUUGUCCAAUAUUCCCCACUGCUGCCUCCCGUAGGAGUCUGGGCCGUGUCUCAGUCCCAGUGUGGCUGAUCAUCCUCUCAGACCAGCUACGGAUCGUCGCCUUGGUGAGCCGUUACCUCACCAACCAGCUAAUCCGACAUAGGCUCAUCCGAUAGCGCGAGGCCCGAAGGUCCCCCGCUUUCCCCCGUAGGGCGUAUGCGGUAUUAGCCUGGGUUUCCCCAGGUUAUCCCCCACUACCGGGCAGAUUCCUAUGCAUUACUCACCCGUCCGCCGCUCGCCACCAGGGAGCAAGCUCCCGUGCUGCCGCUCGACUUGCAUGUGUUAGGCCGUCGCCGCCACGCGUUCAAUCUUGAGCACGGAUACAAACUACUGA